GUUAAUUUCUUUCAUCACAUUCCCAGUGGGUCACAAGUUUACAUACACUCAAAUAGUAUUUGGUAGCAUUGCCUUUAAAUUGUUUAACUUGGGUCAAACGUUUCAGGUAUCCUUCCACAAGAUUCCCACAAUAAGUUGGGUGAAUUUUGGCCCAUUCCUCCUGACAGAGCUGGUGUAACUGAGUCAGGUUCUGGGACGGCGGAUCAUAAUUAGUCAUGCAGCUAAUUUCCCACAAUGCCCUGCAGCCCUGGUCUCCAGCGGCACGCUCAUACAUAUUCAACAGUAUGCUAAUGAGCACCACUGCACCCAGGUGAGAUGCUGCCACGGAGAAGGCCAAUCAGAACACGGACACGCUGACCAAUCAAAUGACAGAACUGAAACAGUGACCAAUCAGAUUCUAGAACACAGACACACUAAUCAAUCAGAGCCC
Molecule: long non-coding RNA, 430 nt
Filed under: Salmo salar (Atlantic salmon)
Lineage: Eukaryota; Metazoa; Chordata; Actinopteri; Salmoniformes; Salmonidae
Description: lncRNA (ENSSSAG00000094990.1)
Source: RNAcentral